UACGAAGGGGGCUAGCGUUGCUCGGAAUCACUGGGCGUAAAGCGCACGUAGGCGGAUUGUUAAGUCAGGUGUGAAAUCCUGGAGCUCAACUCCAGAACUGCCUUUGAUACUGGCGAUCUCGAGUCCGGGAGAGGUGAGUGGAACUGCGAGUGUAGAGGUGAAAUUCGUAGAUAUUCGCAAGAACACCAGUGGCGAAGGCGGCUCACUGGCCCGGUACUGACGCUGAGGUGCGAAAGCGUGGGGAGCAAACAGG
RNAcentral lists this ribosomal RNA (253 nucleotides) under uncultured bacterium. Its description in RNAcentral is "partial 16S ribosomal RNA". It matches the Rfam family "Bacterial small subunit ribosomal RNA", at positions 524 to 776 of the family's 1533-position model. The record is from RNAcentral.